AACCUCUUAUAAAUAAUAACACUUCCUCUUGUCAAUAAGUAUUUACAACCUCAAAUUAUUAAAAAUAUUUUUUUCUAAAUCUACAAAUUGUCAAGCUUAGAAUCAACAUAAAUCUCUUAUAAAUAUUAACAAUAUUUCAUCUUUGCCAAAACAUUCUCAAAUAUCAAUAGUAUUUAUAAAUUAAUCAUCAACGAUCUCCAUAGCCUUUCAUCCUAACCUCUCACAACAUGCAUCACGCUACAUCUCAGUGUCACCCACUCGCCCCAUAAAUAUCACAGUGACACUGUUCAGCUCGUUGUAAAACAGCGUGAUCCAUCGAUAAGUAGUUAAUUAUUCGUUCUCCGAAUCGAGAGGCAAAGACGAAAAUAAACAAAAGAGAAACGAAAGUGGGAGCUGUGUAAGAUAUCGCGAACGAAGGGCGAAAAGAAAGCAAGAAACUGGCCGAUCCAUCGUCGGAGGGCAUCAAGAGCUUUUAACCUCCGGUAUCUACGAACGAAGUUUGACGUAUGCGAGCAUGUGUACGGGACUUUAAGUCGGGUCCUACGUCGUCGGUUAGGCCAAGUUAGUCCGAAUGAGCCGGGAAGCCUUCAGGAUUUAAUCUUCGGUGGGCGUGAGCAGGAUUAGCCAGGUUGCCCACACGUCCGACAAACGGAUUACAGGAGUGUCAAUAUCUUACGGGGCACGCAUUAUCCCUCUUCUUGUUCUUCUUCUUCCUUCGUUCUCCUUUUUUCGCCUUUUCCCCCCGUUUCUGUAUCCUCUUUCGUGACUUCCUCCUCGGGGAACAUUUUGUUAACGACACGUCGCACAAAUGAAUCUGAAUAAUUUUGUAUUCAUUACGGUUGCUGUUCGAACACAGUACUCUUCAUUUGUUUUGCGUAAGAUUAAUAUUGCGGAUACAUAACCUUUAGAAUUUCACAAAUUUUAUCUAAUUAUUCAUUAUUGAAAAUUCUAACCUCUAAUCCAUUUAUGUCCUUUUGAUAACCUCAUUCUUUCCGAGUGCAUUUUUAUAUUUCGAUCGUAAAAGUUUUCGAUGUACAUAUUGCGUAAUCCGAACAGUACCGAAGAGGAACGAAGUUACCCGAUUUAUUAUUACGCGUUCGUUCGUUUUGCGUCGACCACCACGAAGUAAUCUACUGAUGGAGCUGACACUUGGAGGAUCCGUAAAACCUUCCUAUGCAAACAAAAAAUCAGUAUUAUUUAUAAAUUAGGGUAAUCAAUAUAAAUACGUCUUGCAACUUUUAGGAGAAUAUAGAAUUGGAAAAUGCAGAGAUGUGUGAAUAUGGAAAUUUCGAGAAUGCAGAAACUUGACGAUGUACAUAGACAUUCGAGAAUAUACAUAGUUUGGAAAUGCAAUGAGUUGUGAAUUGAUUUAAGAUUACAGGAAUUCAAAAACAUAGUGACACAAGAACACAGAAUUUUAAAAAUGUAAAAAUCAAAAAACACGAGUUUCUGAAAACAAAAUGUCAGAAAAUAUAGCAACCGGCGGAUGCAGCCGUUCGCAGUGCACAAAUUACAGAGGUCUGCGAAUCUAGAAAUGCCGAGAUUAUGGAAAUUACGUAAUAUUUUAAUUUGUGAGUCCCGUUCGAAAUCAAUUUAAUAACAAUAAUCGAAGAAGGACAAUGUAAAGUGAGUUCGCUGCCGGCGCACCGUGGCUUACACUUUGCCUGGCAUUUGCGAUUUGCAAAUGCAGUCUACCGCACUGCAAUUUUGCGCGAUCAUUUUCAAACUAAAAUAUACAUUUUGCGCCGACAAGAUUCAACGUUAUAUUGCACAUCGCUGGCUAGCACCGUUAUACGCAACUAUUCACUACGCUUGAGUUAUUCGACGGCUUAGUUCGAUGGUUAGGUUAGGUUGCAAACUUUUCAUAUUGACAUGCAAGGUUUGUUGCAAAGAAUGUAAAAUAAUUAAUACUCUCGCUGUUCUGAUGAUUUAGAAUGAUUGGAGAGGUUGAAUCAUCUACUGUAAUUAUAAAUUAUUUUAAUGAUAUAUUAAAAAUUCAUCAAACUUAAAA
Long non-coding RNA from Megachile rotundata (alfalfa leafcutting bee), 2011 nucleotides. NCBI's taxonomy places the organism in Eukaryota, Metazoa, Arthropoda, Insecta, Hymenoptera, Megachilidae. The record is from RefSeq and is a predicted model, not a curated record.